Molecule: ribosomal RNA, 484 nt
Filed under: uncultured bacterium
Lineage: Bacteria
Description: partial 16S ribosomal RNA
Rfam family: Bacterial small subunit ribosomal RNA
Source: RNAcentral
AUUGAACGCUGGCGGCAGGCCUAACACAUGCAAGUCGAGCGGAUGAAGGGAGCUUGCUCCUGGAUUCAGCGGCGGACGGGUGAGUAAUGCCUAGGAAUCUGCCUGGUAGUGGGGGAUAACGUCCGGAAACGGGCGCUAAUACCGCAUACGUCCUGUGGGAGAAAGUGGGGGAUCUUCGGACCUCACGCUAUCAGAUGAGCCUAGGUCGGAUUAGCUAGUUGGUGGGGUAAAGGCAUACCAAGGCGACGAUCCGUAACUGGUCUGAGAGGAGGAUCAGUCACACUGGAACUGAGACACGGUCCAGACUCCUACGGGAGGCAGCAGUGGGGAAUAUUGGACAAUGGGCGAAAGCCUGAUCCAGCCAUGCCGCGUGUGUGAAGAAGGUCUUCGGAUUGUAAAGCACUUUAAGUUGGGAGGAAGGGCAGUAAGUUAAUACCUUGCUGUUUUGACGUUACCAAAAGAAUAAGCACCGGCUAACUUCGUG